This is a long non-coding RNA of Anguilla rostrata (American eel), 621 nucleotides long. RefSeq lists it as uncharacterized. The transcript has 3 exons. NCBI's taxonomy places the organism in Eukaryota, Metazoa, Chordata, Actinopteri, Anguilliformes, Anguillidae. The record is from RefSeq and is a predicted model, not a curated record.
CUGGCACAGCUGAGCCACAAGGGGGUGGUAUGUGUGCUAACAUGCUAACUCGAUUUGACAUCCAGUCCUGCUGAGCACAUAAGAAGGCAUCUUCACAGCUUGUGUCUUCUUCUUCUGUUUGCUCUAACAGGCCUUUCAGAAAAAUGCGGAACAAGACCUUCCAUCUGAGAGCGAGUCUGCAGACUUCAAGGCACCCAAAAAAACCAGAGCACAGCAGAAAGCUGCAUCCAGUAGAUCUGCUAAGAGAAGAAAAAGAAGAAUGAAAAAUUAGAAAUUGCUUCUAAUUUUUGACUUCAAAAGCCAUUCUCUAGAGUGACAUGGGGAAAUACAAAAUAUCUUAAUUGUACAUUUAAAAAAAAUACAGAAAUGGAUAUGACUGCCUUCAUAAUCAGCUGUUAGAAUCAGCUGGCAGUAGAAAUGACCAACAUUGUGCUGAUUAUUUCAUGUUUUUUUUACUUGUUUUAGACAACCAAAUUAUUUAUUCUAAAGAUUUAUCCACUUUAGGUCAAUGAUGAUUAUGUUUUGUAAAAAGUUCCUUGUUCAUGAAAAUUAAUUCCAUGAUGAUUUUUUAACGAUGAAUAUUCCUUAAUGACCAUACAUUGUGAAUACAUGCUGUGUAGA